UACGUAGGGGGCAAACGUUACUCGGAAUUACUGGGCGUAAAGGGUGCGUAGGCGGCCGAGAAAGUCAAUGAUGAAAUCCCGUGGCUUAACUGCGGAACUGUCAUUGAAACUUCCCGGCUUGAGGAUAAUCGAAGAGAACGGAAUUCCCGGUGGAGCGGUGAAAUGCGUAGAUAUCGGGAGGAACACCUGAGGCGAAAGCGGUUCUCUAGACUACUCCUGACGCUGAGGCACGAAAGCUAGGGGAGCAAACGGG
RNAcentral lists this ribosomal RNA (253 nucleotides) under uncultured bacterium. RNAcentral's name for it is "partial 16S ribosomal RNA". It matches the Rfam family "Bacterial small subunit ribosomal RNA", at positions 524 to 776 of the family's 1533-position model. The record is from RNAcentral.